UUCCUACGGGAGGCAGCAGUGGGGAAUCUUGCGCAAUGGGCGAAAGCCUGACGCAGCAACGCCGCGUGCGGGAUGAAGGCCUUCGGGCUGUAACCCGCUUUCAGCAGGAACGAAAAUGNCGGUACCUGCAGAAGAAGGAGCGGCCAACUACGUGCCAGCAGCCGCGGUGACACGUAGGCUCCAAGCGUUGUCCGGAUUUAUUGGGCGUAAAGAGCUCGUAGGCGGUUUAGUAAGUCGGGUGUUAAAACUCUGGGCUCAACCCGGAGAGGCCAUCCGAUACUGCUGUGACUUGAGUUCAGGAGGGGAGCGGGGAAUUCCUAGUGUAGCGGUGAAAUGCGCAGAUAUUAGGAGGAACACCGGUGGCGAAGGCGCCGCUCUGGACUGAAACUGACGCUGAGGAGCGAAAGCAUGGGUAGCAAACAGGAUUAGAUACCCUGGUAGUCCAUGCCGUAAACGGUGGGCACUAGGUGUGGGUUCCAACUAACGGGAUCCGCGCCGUCGCUAACGCAUUAAGUGCCCCGCCUGGGGAGUACGGUCGCAAGACUAAAACUCAAAGGAAUUGAC
RNAcentral lists this ribosomal RNA (564 nucleotides) under uncultured bacterium. Its description in RNAcentral is "bacterial SSU rRNA". It matches the Rfam family "Bacterial small subunit ribosomal RNA", at positions 336 to 914 of the family's 1533-position model. The record is from RNAcentral.